Non-coding RNA from Myotis brandtii (Brandt's bat), 75 nucleotides. Lineage: Eukaryota; Metazoa; Chordata; Mammalia; Chiroptera; Vespertilionidae. The record is from Rfam.
GGCGGUUCUCGGGUGAUGCACACCGGAAUUCGGCUUCCUCCUCUCUGGUUCCGGGUGCAGCACGUGAGAACCACA